RNAcentral lists this transfer RNA (68 nucleotides) under Apocheima cinerarius. RNAcentral describes it as "tRNA-Leu". Lineage: Eukaryota; Metazoa; Arthropoda; Insecta; Lepidoptera; Geometridae. The record is from RNAcentral.
ACUAUUUUGGCAAAAAAAUGUAAUGAUUUUAGAAUUCAUAAAUAUAUAAUUUAAUUAUAUAGAUAGUA